UGUGAUGAUUUACCAUUCAGAGGUUACCUCUUAACCAUUCAGACUUGAGGUUACCUCUUAUUCAUUCAGAGGUUUUAUACCAUUAAAAGGUAGCAUCUGAAUGGUCAUUAAGAGGCUACCAAACAGCCCCAUAGACAUUUCAACAGAUUGCUAGAUCGACUGCCAAGCUAGGAGUCUUAGUUUGUUUUGUUUAUUGUGUUGUUCCUAUAAAUAGAACAUUCCUCUUUCUGACUUUCAUUCAAACUCACCCUUUUACUCUAAAUAUUUUCAAACAUCAAACUGAAUAGAGAACCAAGAUCAAAGAGCAAAAAGGAAGAAUUUUGAUACACCUUCCAAUCUUUUAGUCUUUGUAAUUGUUUUUUAACACUUCUAAUAAUGGGUGAUUUGUGAGGGGCCCCAUCAUUGGUUGGUGUUAUUUGCAACUUUAGACACGUGUUUAUAGCGUAUUAAUAUCAAAAUUUCACCACAUAUGCAUAUUUCAUAGUCAUACCUUAUUAUUUUACGAAACUCUUGUUUUGUGUCAUACCUCAUUAUUUUGUGAAACUAUUGUUUUGUGGAAUGGAAUCUACUUUUGUUUGUUGUCUAAAUUGUGCUAGCAAAUCAAAUGUUGAGUUAAAGAACAAUGGCUGGAUGAUGAAGUUAUUUAUUUUGUGUGACUAAUAUAAUUGGGUUUUGGCCAUUCAAAACAACAAAAAAAUAAAAGAGAAAUUAAUUGCCACAAAGUUGUGUCUUGGAAACUUGGGUCAACGAACAAUGAAUUGGCAUUUUGGGCUCUGGGCCUGCUAACAAAGUAAAAAAAGAUCACACAUCAAAAAGCAACAACCGGAACGAACAAAGGGGAGAGGACAUCAUUUGACGGCUGGCGACUUCGAUUUUUGGAGGGUGGACUUCGAGUUCGAGAUCAAGAGAAGCAAGAAUUCAGAUUUUGGGAAGUAAUUUUGGUUUCGUACGUUGUUAAUUCUAUGUUUUGUUUAGACUUGAUUGUUUUAUCAUGUCCGGCUAGACCUUUAUAGUUUCGACAUCUGCGUUUAUUUUCUUUAAUUUGCUUCAUAAACUUAUGU
RNAcentral lists this long non-coding RNA (1061 nucleotides) under Helianthus annuus (common sunflower). RNAcentral's name for it is "hypothetical non coding rna". Lineage: Eukaryota; Viridiplantae; Streptophyta; Magnoliopsida; Asterales; Asteraceae. The record is from RNAcentral.